UGGGGAAUAUUGCACAAUGGAGGGAACUCUGAUGCAGCGACGCCGCGUGAGUGAUGAAGGAAUUCGUUUCGUAAAACUCUGUUCUAUGGGAAGAAAAGGACUGUACCUUAGGAGAAAGCUCCGGCUAAAUACGUGCCAGCAGUCGCGGUAAUACGUAUGGAGCGAGCGUUGUCCGGAAUUAUUGGGCGUAAAGGGUGCGCAGGCGGCUUUACAAGUUGGAUGUGAAAUAUUGUGGCUCAACCACAAACGUGCAUCCAAAACUGCAGAGCUUGAGUUAAGGAGAGGUAAGUGGAAUUCCUGGUGUAGCGGUGGAAUGCGUAGAUAUCAAGAGGAAUACCGGUGGCGAAGGCGACUUACUGGACUAAAACUGACGCUCAGGCACGAAAGCGUGGGGAGCAAACAGG
Molecule: ribosomal RNA, 404 nt
Filed under: Fusobacteriota bacterium
Lineage: Bacteria; Fusobacteriati; Fusobacteriota
Description: Fusobacteria bacterium partial 16S ribosomal RNA
Rfam family: Bacterial small subunit ribosomal RNA
Source: RNAcentral